RNAcentral lists this ribosomal RNA (2899 nucleotides) under Klebsiella pneumoniae. RNAcentral describes it as "bacterial LSU rRNA". It matches the Rfam family "Bacterial large subunit ribosomal RNA". The record is from RNAcentral. Lineage: Bacteria; Pseudomonadati; Pseudomonadota; Gammaproteobacteria; Enterobacterales; Enterobacteriaceae.
UUAAGCGACUAAGCGUACACGGUGGAUGCCCUGGCAGUCAGAGGCGAUGAAGGACGUGCUAAUCUGCGAAAAGCGUCGGUAAGGUGAUAUGAACCGUUAUAACCGGCGAUGUCCGAAUGGGGAAACCCAGUGCAAUUCGUUGCACUAUCGUUAACUGAAUACAUAGGUUAACGAGGCGAACCGGGGGAACUGAAACAUCUAAGUACCCCGAGGAAAAGAAAUCAACCGAGAUUCCCCAGUAGCGGCGAGCGAACGGGGAGCAGCCCAGAGUCUGAAUCAGCUUGUGUGUUAGUGGAACGGUCUGGAAAGUCCGACGGUACAGGGUGAUAGUCCCGUACACCAAAAUGCACAGGCUGUGAACUCGAAGAGUAGGGCGGGACACGUGGUAUCCUGUCUGAAUAUGGGGGGACCAUCCUCCAAGGCUAAAUACUCCUGACUGACCGAUAGUGAACCAGUACCGUGAGGGAAAGGCGAAAAGAACCCCGGCGAGGGGAGUGAAAAAGAACCUGAAACCGUGUACGUACAAGCAGUGGGAGCACCUUCGGGUGUGACUGCGUACCUUUUGUAUAAUGGGUCAGCGACUUAUAUUCUGUAGCAAGGUUAACCGUAUAGGGGAGCCGCAGGGAAACCGAGUCUUAACUGGGCGUUAAGUUGCAGGGUAUAGACCCGAAACCCGGUGAUCUAGCCAUGGGCAGGUUGAAGGUUGGGUAACACUAACUGGAGGACCGAACCGACUAAUGUUGAAAAAUUAGCGGAUGACUUGUGGCUGGGGGUGAAAGGCCAAUCAAACCGGGAGAUAGCUGGUUCUCCCCGAAAGCUAUUUAGGUAGCGCCUCGUGAAUUCAUCUUCGGGGGUAGAGCACUGUUUCGGCUAGGGGGUCAUCCCGACUUACCAACCCGAUGCAAACUACGAAUACCGAAGAAUGUUAUCACGGGAGACACACGGCGGGUGCUAACGUCCGUCGUGAAGAGGGAAACAACCCAGACCGCCAGCUAAGGUCCCAAAGUCAUGGUUAAGUGGGAAACGAUGUGGGAAGGCACAGACAGCCAGGAUGUUGGCUUAGAAGCAGCCAUCAUUUAAAGAAAGCGUAAUAGCUCACUGGUCGAGUCGGCCUGCGCGGAAGAUGUAACGGGGCUAAACCAUGCACCGAAGCUGCGGCAGCGACACUAUGUGUUGUUGGGUAGGGGAGCGUUCUGUAAGCCUGCGAAGGUGACCUGUGAGGGUUGCUGGAGGUAUCAGAAGUGCGAAUGCUGACAUAAGUAACGAUAAAGCGGGUGAAAAGCCCGCUCGCCGGAAGACCAAGGGUUCCUGUCCAACGUUAAUCGGGGCAGGGUGAGUCGACCCCUAAGGCGAGGCCGAAAGGCGUAGUCGAUGGGAAACAGGUUAAUAUUCCUGUACUUGGUGUUACUGCGAAGGGGGGACGGAGAAGGCUAUGUUAGCCGGGCGACGGUUGUCCCGGUUUAAGCAUGUAGGCUGGUUAUCCAGGCAAAUCCGGAUAAUCAAGGCUGAGGUGUGAUGACGAGGCACUACGGUGCUGAAGUAACAAAUGCCCUGCUUCCAGGAAAAGCCUCUAAGCAUCAGGUAACAUCAAAUCGUACCCCAAACCGACACAGGUGGUCAGGUAGAGAAUACCAAGGCGCUUGAGAGAACUCGGGUGAAGGAACUAGGCAAAAUGGUGCCGUAACUUCGGGAGAAGGCACGCUGGUGUGUAGGUGAAGCCCCUGCGGGUGGAGCUGAGACCAGUCGAAGAUACCAGCUGGCUGCAACUGUUUAUUAAAAACACAGCACUGUGCAAACACGAAAGUGGACGUAUACGGUGUGACGCCUGCCCGGUGCCGGAAGGUUAAUUGAUGGGGUUAUCCGUAAGGAGAAGCUCUUGAUCGAAGCCCCGGUAAACGGCGGCCGUAACUAUAACGGUCCUAAGGUAGCGAAAUUCCUUGUCGGGUAAGUUCCGACCUGCACGAAUGGCGUAAUGAUGGCCAGGCUGUCUCCACCCGAGACUCAGUGAAAUUGAACUCGCUGUGAAGAUGCAGUGUACCCGCGGCAAGACGGAAAGACCCCGUGAACCUUUACUAUAGCUUGACACUGAACAUUGAGCCUUGAUGUGUAGGAUAGGUGGGAGGCUUUGAAGCGUGGACGCCAGUCUGCGUGGAGCCAACCUUGAAAUACCACCCUUUAAUGUUUGAUGUUCUAACGUUGGCCCCUUAUCGGGGUUGCGGACAGUGUCUGGUGGGUAGUUUGACUGGGGCGGUCUCCUCCCAAAGCGUAACGGAGGAGCACGAAGGUUAGCUAAUCCUGGUCGGACAUCAGGAGGUUAGUGCAAUGGCAUAAGCUAGCUUGACUGCGAGCGUGACGGCGCGAGCAGGUGCGAAAGCAGGUCAUAGUGAUCCGGUGGUUCUGAAUGGAAGGGCCAUCGCUCAACGGAUAAAAGGUACUCCGGGGAUAACAGGCUGAUACCGCCCAAGAGUUCAUAUCGACGGCGGUGUUUGGCACCUCGAUGUCGGCUCAUCACAUCCUGGGGCUGAAGUAGGUCCCAAGGGUAUGGCUGUUCGCCAUUUAAAGUGGUACGCGAGCUGGGUUUAGAACGUCGUGAGACAGUUCGGUCCCUAUCUGCCGUGGGCGCUGGAGAAUUGAGGGGGGCUGCUCCUAGUACGAGAGGACCGGAGUGGACGCAUCACUGGUGUUCGGGUUGUCAUGCCAAUGGCACUGCCCGGUAGCUAAAUGCGGAAGAGAUAAGUGCUGAAAGCAUCUAAGCACGAAACUUGCCCCGAGAUGAGUUCUCCCUGAGACUUUAAGUCUCCUGAAGGAACGUUAAAGACGAUGACGUUGAUAGGCCGGGUGUGUAAGCGCAGCGAUGCGUUGAGCUAACCGGUACUAAUGAACCGUGAGGCUUAACCUU